This is a small nucleolar RNA of Coffea eugenioides, 107 nucleotides long. The record is from RefSeq and is a predicted model, not a curated record. NCBI's taxonomy places the organism in Eukaryota, Viridiplantae, Streptophyta, Magnoliopsida, Gentianales, Rubiaceae.
AUUUGAUGUUGAGGACAGCUAAUGCACAACUUCUUGAACCUCUCCCAACAUUCAUAAAGAGAUUCUCCGGAGCUUUGCUUGAUACCACAAAUUUCGUUUCGAAAACU